GACGGGGCCGCACAAGCGGUGGAGCAUGUGGUUAAUUCGAAGCAACGCGAAGAACCUUACCAGGGCUUGACAUCCCCUGACCGCGUAUGAAAGUACGUUUUCACCCUCGGGUGACAGGGAGACAGGUGGUGCAUGGUUGUCGUCAGCUCGUGUCGUGAGAUGUUGGGUUAAGUCCCGCAACGAGCGCAACCCCUACGUUUAGUUGCUAACGCGUGAAGGCGAGCACUCUAGACGAACUGCCGUUGACAAAACGGAGGAAGGUGGGAUGACGUCAAAUCAUCAUGCCCCUUAUGUUCUGGGCUACACACGUGCUACAAUGGCCGGUACAGACGGACGCAAAGCCGCGAGGCGGAGCAAAUCCGAAAAAGCCGGUCUCAGUUCGGAUUGCAGGCUGCAAUUCGCCUGCAUGAAGUCGGAAUCGCUAGUAAUCGCAGGUCAGCAUACUGCGGUGAAUACGUUCCCGGGCCUU
RNAcentral lists this ribosomal RNA (469 nucleotides) under uncultured Pelotomaculum sp. RNAcentral's name for it is "bacterial SSU rRNA". It matches the Rfam family "Bacterial small subunit ribosomal RNA", at positions 917 to 1381 of the family's 1533-position model. The record is from RNAcentral. Lineage: Bacteria; Bacillati; Bacillota; Clostridia; Eubacteriales; Desulfotomaculaceae.